RNAcentral lists this long non-coding RNA (199 nucleotides) under Musa acuminata (dwarf banana). RNAcentral describes it as "long non-coding RNA (MACU_LNC002633)". Lineage: Eukaryota; Viridiplantae; Streptophyta; Magnoliopsida; Zingiberales; Musaceae. The record is from RNAcentral.
UUUUUUUCUUCUUCUUCCCCCUUUUUCUUCUCUUCUUCUUUCUUUCUUUCUCCUGUGCUUCCACGUAGCUGCCUUCUCUGGUUCCUUAUGAACGAAGGCAGGGAGGCUUAAAUGGUGAGAUUUGUAUUUUUGUGCAUUUUGUAGUUUAGUCCUUGUAUUUAUUAUAUUUACGAUUAGGUCCUCAGGGUUUACAUAUAGG